CCAGAAUUAAACUUAUGAUGCUAUUACUCUACGUGCAAAAUAGGGAGGGAUGUUAUUAUUCGGUUUGUUGGACUUUCAGGGAGACGUCUUCCUGUUGUUAUUACAUCCACUCAGGCUAUUUGUGUCUCCUUUGCUCAAGCAGCCAAACCAUUCCGGAGAACUUUGCUGUCCCUGGGAUUGAAGCCAGUGUGGAAGGCCAAGAAGCCUCUUCAGGCUCUAUUCCCAUUUCUUUGGCUCGGUUCCCACCGCUGGAGGAUGAGGAUGGGUGGAGAUGAAGAUGGGGGUGGGGGAGAACACUUCAGUUCACACCCUUCUAAGCACCUGAUGCCUCAGGGAUGGUGACAAGGGCCUAGGGCCCAUCUUUCAGAACAGAUGACUGUGGACAAGAAGCAGAUAAGCUGAACCAGGCCACUCAAUGAACCCAGUGCCAGCCUCAGAUAAACUGUCGCCACUUUAUACACUUACACACCCCUUAACCCUCCCUUCUUCUCCAGCCUCCACCAGAAAAAUCUCCCAAGUCUCACACCCACCCAUAGGCUUGAGGCAGGAGCCAGGUCCCUGAGCCAACUGCUCUCUGGGAAAGACAUGGAAGGAGAGGGAGUUCUCUUAGGAAUGCUGAUAACAACCAUUUUUGAUUCUCUCUAACCUCAGCUGCACUCAGCUCUCCAGGGACAAAGACAAGUAGAGAACUAAAGCAGAUGUCUGAUAAUGGCAGUAAAAAAUUUUUUGUGGUAUUUUUUUUAACUUGAAAGAUAAUUGAAAUAGCUUUGCCUUUCUGUUAUCCCCCCAACAUAAGCUCCCUUCCCCUCUCACCAAUCACUUUCUCAUCUAUGGAUUUUUUUUAGCCUUUUUUUUUUUUAAGUCUAGUCCUGUGAUUUCACGGAUGAGGGUAACUCCUGGUGUAGAAAAUCCAUCCCUAGAUUCAGAGCAGCUACUCAUCUGUAACAUAUGACAAUGUAUGUAAUUGCUUAAGGCUUGGGUGGGGAACCUGCGGGUGAGACCACAUGUGGCCUUCUAGGUCCUCAAGUGGGGCCCUUUGACUGAAUUCAAACUUCAUUCCCCACCCCUGGCCUAAGGGCACAGAGAAGUCAAGCAACUUGUCCAUGGUUAUUACAGCUAUGUUAUUACAGUAUAUGUCAAAAACAGAACUUGAACCAUGUCUUUCUAACUCUAAGGCCUUCUGUCUAUGCCCCAAAAUAAUGUGACUUCUCUUUGGCUUCAGUAAGAAUCAAAACUCUAGAGAAGGUAGGUAUUGUUCUUCCGCAAUUGUAGCUAGGGAAUGCAAGGACCAGAAAGAUUAAGAUGCCUCCCAAGGUCAUAUAACAAAACAAUGGUCCUAGAACCUAGGAGCUCUUGCCUCUCAGCUUGAGAGUUUUCUCAAAGAGGCACCAUUAUCUCCCAAUCAUUAAGACAGGCCACUUAGUUGCUUUGGUCUUUUGAACCCCAACCCAUCUGAAGGAUGGAAGUGCUUUUGUAGGUCAGUGGGAGAAAUAGCUCUAAGCUGAAGUCUUCUGGGGUUCCAUGCUAGCAGACCAAUUGUGCGAUUUCAUCCCCCAUCCCACCCCCUUCAGUAACAUUAAAAGAAAAAGUUUUCUAACAGUAAAAGGGGUUUGAGGUCCUAGGAAUGCUCCUUGGCAAGGUGAUAGAUCUGCCUCCUUCGGGGACAUUUAAGGAAAGGGCAGACCAAUCUCAUUUGGAGCUGUGUUGACUCUGGCUAGUACUGCCUUGAUACAAAGGGCAGGAGAAGGUGACCUCAGAGGAGGCUUUCCAAUACUGGGACUUAACCCAAUGUCAGGGGAGAUGAACAGGACACAGGAUUCCUGCUCUCAAACAGAUAUCUGUUCCAGGGAUUUGCAAAUUCAAUGAGAAUUUGGCAGAAGACAGUUGCAAUGUGCAGGAUGUGACCCUAGCAGGAUCAGGCCCCACUGAUCCUUAUCUCUGGCAAUCAUUGUACAUCCAGGGUAAAUGUUCUCAAGUGAACUGGUAUGGAGUUCUCCAAGAAUGAGUUUUUCUGGCUGGAGCUAGAGAGGGUUUGGCAGAUCUCCUAUUGUUUGCUAAUAGUUUUGUGCAUGUAAAUUUCCUCAAUCAGAUAAUCAGCUCCCUCCUUGAGAACAGGAACCAUUUCUGAGACUUUAUUUUUUUUUUUGCAUUUCCCACAGAGCUUAGCAGAAUGCCCAAUAAAUAUCUGAUGAAUUCUGAAUGCA
This 2204-nucleotide long non-coding RNA is filed under the name Phascolarctos cinereus (koala). Its description in RNAcentral is "lncRNA (ENSPCIG00000035840.1)". The record is from RNAcentral. Lineage: Eukaryota; Metazoa; Chordata; Mammalia; Diprotodontia; Phascolarctidae.